Molecule: ribosomal RNA, 253 nt
Filed under: uncultured bacterium
Lineage: Bacteria
Description: partial 16S ribosomal RNA
Rfam family: Bacterial small subunit ribosomal RNA
Source: RNAcentral
UACGAAGGGGGCUAGCGUUGUUCGGAAUUACUGGGCGUAAAGAGUACGUAGGCGGUUAUUCAAGUCAGAGGUGAAAUCCCGGAGCUUAACUCCGGAACUGCCUUUGAAACUAGAUAGCUAGAAUCAUGGAGAGGUUAGUGGAAUUCCGAGUGUAGAGGUGAAAUUCGUAGAUAUUCGGAAGAACACCAGUGGCGAAGGCGACUAACUGGACAUGUAUUGACGCUGAGGUACGAAAGCGUGGGGAGCAAACAGG